RNAcentral lists this unclassified non-coding RNA (304 nucleotides) under uncultured fungus. RNAcentral describes it as "sequence contains ITS1". The stretch from base 1 to 105 matches the Rfam family "5.8S ribosomal RNA", at positions 50 to 154 of the family's 154-position model. The record is from RNAcentral. Lineage: Eukaryota; Fungi.
AAAAUGCGUUACCUAGUGUGACAUGCAUACACUCGUGAAUCACCGACAUCUUGAACGUAACUGACAAAGCGAGCUUACGCUCGCUUUAAUCACGGUCGAGUGUCAAUAAUUAACCACAAAAUUGGGUGUUUCGACUUAACCGUCGUCACCUUAAAUUCAACCGAUACGUACUCAAAUAGGGAUUCGCAACCCCAUAAAAAAAUAGUUCGUAUUCGGGUUUUCGUAACCCCGUGUAUUCGGGUAAAAUUAUUGAUUCUUCGGAUAAACUUGACCUCGGCCGUGAUAGACUACCCGCUGAAUUUAA